This 985-nucleotide ribosomal RNA is filed under the name bacterium. RNAcentral describes it as "bacterial SSU rRNA". It matches the Rfam family "Bacterial small subunit ribosomal RNA", at positions 68 to 1066 of the family's 1533-position model. The record is from RNAcentral.
GGUGACGGCCAGCUUGCUGGUCUGAUCAGUGGCGAACGGGUGAGUAACACGUGAGCAACCUGCCCUUCACUCUGGGAUAAGCCUUGGAAACGAGGUCUAAUACCGGAUAUGAGACGCACCGGCAUCGGUAGCGUCUGGAAAGAUUUAUCGGUGAGGGAUGGGCUCGCGGCCUAUCAGCUUGUUGGUGGGGUGAUGGCCUACCAAGGCGACGACGGGUAGCCGGCCUGAGAGGGCGACCGGCCACACUGGGACUGAGACACGGCCCAGACUCCUACGGGAGGCAGCAGUGGGGAAUAUUGCACAAUGGGCGCAAGCCUGAUGCAGCGACGCCGCGUGAGGGAUGACGGCCUUCGGGUUGUAAACCUCUUUCAGCAGGGAAGAAGCGAAAGUGACGGUACCUGCAGAAGAAGCGCCGGCUAACUACGUGCCAGCAGCCGCGGUAAUACGUAGGGCGCAAGCGUUGUCCGGAAUUAUUGGGCGUAAAGAGCUCGUAGGCGGUUUGUCGCGUCUGCUGUGAAAUCCUCAGGCUCAACCUGGGGCUUGCAGUGGGUACGGGCAGACUAGAGUGCGGUAGGGGUGACUGGAAUUCCUGGUGUAGCGGUGGAAUGCGCAGAUAUCAGGAGGAACACCGAUGGCGAAGGCAGGUCACUGGGCCGCAACUGACGCUGAGGAGCGAAAGCAUGGGGAGCGAACAGGAUUAGAUACCCUGGUAGUCCAUGCCGUAAACGUUGGGCACUAGGUGUGGGGCUCAUUCCACGAGUUCCGUGCCGCAGCAAACGCAUUAAGUGCCCCGCCUGGGGAGUACGGCCGCAAGGCUAAAACUCAAAGAAAUUGACGGGGGCCCGCACAAGCGGCGGAGCAUGCGGAUUAAUUCGAUGCAACGCGAAGAACCUUACCAAGGCUUGACAUGCACCGGAAAAACUCAGAGAUGGGUGCCCCGCAAGGUCGGUGUACAGGUGGUGCAUGGUUGUCGUCAGCUCGUGUC